RNAcentral lists this ribosomal RNA (504 nucleotides) under uncultured bacterium. RNAcentral's name for it is "bacterial SSU rRNA". It matches the Rfam family "Bacterial small subunit ribosomal RNA", at positions 19 to 518 of the family's 1533-position model. The record is from RNAcentral.
CUGGCUCAGGAUGAACGCUAGCGGCAGGCUUAACACAUGCAAGUCGAGGGGCAUCGGGAGUAGCAAUACUUGCCGGCGACCGGCGCAAGGGUGCGUAACGCGUGAGCAACAUGCCCGUAUCAGGGGGAUAAUCCAUGGAAACGUGGUCUAAUACCCCAUAGUAAUUAUGUAAGGCAUCUUAUAUAAUUUAAAGCUUUGGUGGAUACGGAUUGGCUCGCGUGACAUUAGCUGGAUGGUAAGGUAACGGCUUACCAUGGCUACGAUGUCUAGGGGUUCUGAGAGGAAGGUCCCCCACACUGGAACUGAGACACGGUCCAGACUCCUACGGGAGGCAGCAGUGAGGAAUAUUGGACAAUGGAUGGAAAUCUGAUCCAGCCAUGCCGCGUGCAGGAAGACGGCCCUAUGGGUUGUAAACUGCUUUUGUAUGGGAGCAAUAAGGGCUACGCGUAGUCCGAUGAGAGUACCAUACGAAUAAGCACCGGCUAACUCCGUGCCAGCCGCGGC